RNAcentral lists this ribosomal RNA (518 nucleotides) under uncultured bacterium. Its description in RNAcentral is "partial 16S ribosomal RNA". It matches the Rfam family "Bacterial small subunit ribosomal RNA", at positions 29 to 507 of the family's 1533-position model. The record is from RNAcentral.
ACGAACGCUGGCGGCGUGCCUCAUACAUGCCAGUCGAGCGCGUCUGCCUUGAAGAUCGGAGUGCUUGCACCCUGUGAAACAAGAUACAGGCUAGCGGCGGACGGGUGAGUAACACGUGGGUAACCUGCCCAAGAGAUCGGGAUAACACCUGGAAACAGAUGCUAAUACCGGAUAACAACAGAUGAUGCCUAUCCACUGUUUAAAAGAUGGUUCUGCUAUCACUCUUGGAUGGACCUGCGGUGCAUUAGCUAGUUGGUAGGGUAACGGCCUACCAAGGCGAUGAUGCAUAGCCGAGUUGAGAGACUGAUCGGCCACAUUGGGACUGAGACACGGCCCAAACUCCUACGGGAGGCAGCAGUAGGGAAUCUUCCACAAUGGACGCAAGUCUGAUGGAGCAACGCCGCGUGAGUGAAGAAGGGUUUCGGCUCGUAAAGCUCUGUUGUUGGUGAAGAAGGACAGGGGUAGUAACUGACCUUUGUUUGACGGUAAUCAAUGAGAAAGUCACGGCUAACUACGUG